CAGAGCCUCUAGACUAGAGCAUAAGAGGACAGGGGCAGCCGUCAUCGCUGUGACAGCCAGGUCCCGUCGUCGCACAAGAUAAGUAAGUUGCGUGGGUGAGGUGUCUAGGACGCUGACAUCUGAAAGCACCAUUUUCUCAGGUCUCCUGCCCGCCGCUGAACAACAGGUUCACCAACGCCAGCCAGGAUAUAAAGCAAGAUACUUAGGAUAAUUUAUGAAGAGCAAGACUUACACGCUGCAAUGCAUCAUCAUGCCUACUUUCACAGGUCAGAGCAAAGCACCCACAUUGAGUAAGGUCACGUUCUGUCUGUACGUCUGACAUGCAUCAUCAUUGCUGUUGAAAUUGAGACUUUUCAGGACAUCACUUGCACAAAUGAAAGCAUUACCAUUAAGCAAGGCCUACCCUAACAUUUGGGACUCUGCAUCAUUAAGUUACUAUCUCGACCGUCAGAAUGCUGACAGCGGCAUCUUAAAAGAUCCCGUAUGGAGAGUCCGCUUUCUGGUGCAGUAUUUGUCUGCUUUUCAUUUGUAGACAAUAUAAUUUGGUAUAGAAAUUCAUCACUUCAAGAGGGUCAUCAUUGGAUAAUCAUUUAAGAUUCAACCCUCAGAGGAAGGACUGUACCAUUUAGAUGAAGAUCCAUCCCCAACAGCAGCAGCAGGCCUAGCACUGAAGGAUUCUUCUGAGGGAUCCUGGAUAGAGGAGGAGUCACCUAGCCUUUACAAUUUGGAUGGACUACCUCUGAUCAUUGCUAAGGAUAUUGAGAAUGAAGGUGUUGGCAGUGAAGAUUGCAGGGGCUGGGAUUUAGUUGAGAUAAGGGGUAUUUUUAGCACCAGUUUCUGAUUUUGUCAAAAACUUUCCAUGAGCUUGUUACAAAUGACAUAACAGGGAGGAGGUUCCUAGAUGGUAAACUUCCCUUCCUCUACUUACUGUAGUUUUACAAAGGCUACAGAUGGCUAGUCAAUUGUCAGGAUUUUGGUAAAAAUAAUUCUACAUACACUGUAAGAGGUGGAUUUGUUUGUCCUAUGCCCAGGCAUUACAAUGGUCUUCUUCCUCUCAUGACCAAGAGCUGCUUCCACUAGUGCCUGACUUACACAAACAACAUCCUCAUCCUCAACAUCCUCAUUAGCACUGGCAUCUAGUACACAAAUAUCCCCCUCAUUCUCUUGCAGUUCCAUGGUGGCAUCUUCAAUUUCUAUGUCAUCAGCUAUACUUCUGUUGCUCAUCGCCAAAUUUGCAGAGGGUGCAGAAAUGGUGGAAGGUGGGUUCUCUACAAGUAAUAUAUCAGAGAGGUAGGGCUCUUAUAUAGCACUCAUGGACACACUUAGACUGUUCUUAGGGACUUCUAGCUUUUCUGAAUGCACAGUUUGUUCUACUGCCUUAGUGAUUUUAUUUUUUUACACCUCUCUUAGAUUCUGAGUAAAAAAGGUCUGCAUCAUCAUGGGAGGCAGUCUAUGUCUCAUUGACAGUUGCAGAACCACCAGUAAUAAAAAAAGGCCUGAGCUUUUCCUUGCCACUGCAUAUGGUAAAUGACAUGUUGCCAAUUUUAUGUUUUUCUGCCCUACAUUUUCCUUUUAGUAGAGGUAUUUUUUUCUUUGCCACUGUCUGUUUUUUUUUUUUUUUAGUUGCCCUGAUAGCGCUGGCAACCCCAGAAGAUUUCCGGACAUACUACUGACUGAUUCCCCAAGGACAGUCGUGCAGCAUGCAUGGUGCCUAGGAAUCAGCAUACUCUAUUAUGGAGUUUAGCCCAUCCCCCGGACACCUAUUGGCUGCGGGCGGGCUUAGCUGUAAAAUGGCUUAUGCUGAUUGCGGUGCCCGGGAAUAAGCUCUGAGGCUGGCGCUCCCUGCGGGCGAUGUCCACGGGUGAUCGUCAGGUGAUUAUCUCACCCUGCCCCUUCACUGGCCCCCCUGUACCUUCCCCCCUGCUCCCACUUCAAUUUAAAAACAUCCCCCCAGGAUGUGGUGUUUUUAAAUUGAAAACUUGCCACUAAAGGGGUUAAACCAUCUAUACCCUUGGGCAUUGGCUUUAGAUGACAUUGAAGAACUAGUAUUGUCAUUGUGACUGGUUGCAGCAGCUGCAGUGCUGCUCUUCUCUUGACUGAUCAUCGUGAUCCGUAUUGUUGAACACACUCAAGUUGUACAAAAUAAACUACAGUUUAAUAGUAUUAUUUAUUUACUUGAACCUUUUUAUUGAAAAUCACCACUCACUGUGGAGUCACAGUACUUAGUUAUUAUGGAUAUGCAGUGGGGUACAGACUGUGAAGUCACAGUACUUAUAUGUUAUGGAUAUGCAAUGGGGUAUGGCCUGUGAAGUCACAGUACUUGUAUGUUAUGGAUACACAGUAAUCACAGUACUUGUAUUAUAGAUA
This is a long non-coding RNA of Pseudophryne corroboree (corroboree frog), 2367 nucleotides long. RefSeq lists it as uncharacterized. The transcript has 6 exons. Lineage: Eukaryota; Metazoa; Chordata; Amphibia; Anura; Myobatrachidae. The record is from RefSeq and is a predicted model, not a curated record.